UACGGAGGAUGCGAGCGUUAUCCGGAUUUAUUGGGUUAAAGGGUGCGUAGGCGGACUGUCAAGUCAGCGGUAAAAUUGAGAGGCUCAACCUCUUCCCGCCGUUGAAACUGGUGGUCUUGAGUGGAUGAGAAGUACGCGGAAUGCGUGGUGUAGCGGUGAAAUGCAUAGAUAUCACGCAGAACUCCGAUUGCGAAGGCAGCGUACCGGCAUCCAACUGACGCUGAGGCACGAAAGCGUGGGGAUCAAACAGG
RNAcentral lists this ribosomal RNA (251 nucleotides) under uncultured bacterium. Its description in RNAcentral is "partial 16S ribosomal RNA". It matches the Rfam family "Bacterial small subunit ribosomal RNA", at positions 524 to 776 of the family's 1533-position model. The record is from RNAcentral.